CUACGGAGGGGGCUAGCGUUGUUCGGAAUUACUGGGCGUAAAGCGUACGUAGGCGGACUGAUCAGUUGGGGGUGAAAUCCCAGGGCUUAACCCUGGAACUGCCUUCAAUACUGUCAGUCUUGAGAUUGGAAGAGGUGGGUGGAAUUCCUAGUGUAGAGGUGAAAUUCAUAGAUAUUAGGAGGAACACCAGUGGCGGAGGCGGCUCACUGGUCCAAUACUGACGCUGAGGUACGAAAGCGUGGGGAGCAAACAGGAUUAGAAACCCUAGUAGUCC
Molecule: ribosomal RNA, 274 nt
Filed under: uncultured bacterium
Lineage: Bacteria
Description: partial 16S ribosomal RNA
Rfam family: Bacterial small subunit ribosomal RNA
Source: RNAcentral